This 14667-nucleotide long non-coding RNA is filed under the name Lactuca sativa (garden lettuce). Its description in RNAcentral is "long non-coding RNA (LSAT_LNC000038)". The record is from RNAcentral. Lineage: Eukaryota; Viridiplantae; Streptophyta; Magnoliopsida; Asterales; Asteraceae.
GAUCAUUUUUGAAAUUGGAGUUGUAUACGUCUUCUUUGUAUUUGUAUUUCACCACCUUUGUAAGCCAAUGAGAUUUCAGUGUUAUUCUUCUUAACGACUACGUGUUAUGGUCUGCUCCUGUAGAAUUUCAUGAUGAAGAAAGAUGAAGAGAAGAAUGAAUCUGAGAGAAGAAUGUUUUCCAUUAAUUCUCACAAAUGAAAGAGAUACAAUCUAUAUACAGAAUGGAAAGCUAUUACAGAGCACACACAAACUUAGCUAACUUCUAACUACCAAAUUAAUUAAAUUACAAUGUUAUCCCUGUUUAUGUAAAAAUGACGAAACUACCCUUGUGAUCAUUUAGAAGUAUUAUGCUGACACCCCCCUCAAGCUGGUGGAUAUGAGGAGAAACCAAGCUUGGAAACUGCAUCUUUAUGAUUAAUACCACUUAAAUUCUUCGUGAAUACAUCUGCUAAUUGAUCUUUGGUAUUAAUGUGAGAUAAACUGAUUAAGCUAUCCUGUAACUUCUCUCGAACAUAAUGACAAUCUAUCUCAAUAUGCUUGGUACGUUCAUGGAAGACAGGAUUGGUUGCAAUGUAAAUUGCAGAAAGAUUGUCACAUUUUAAUGGAAUGGGUGUCAAAUUUUCUACUUGAAGUUCCUCAAAUAAUCGACUGAUCCAUGCUAAUUCAGUACAAACUCUACGCAUUGAUCUGUACUCUGCUUCAGAUGAAGAAAGUGACACAGUAAGUUGCUUCUUUGAUUUCCAAGAAAUAGGAGUACCACCAAAAAGUAUAAAGAAGCCACUGACUGAUCUUCGUGUAAUGGGACAUGCAGCCCAAUCUGAAUCACAAAAAGCUUCGAGCUUGAUAGAUGAAUUGUUAUUGAAAUGCAAACCUUGAGAAAUUGUCCCCUUCAAGUAUUGUAAUACAUGAAUAGUUGCAUCAUAAUGAGAUUGAGAUGGUGUUUGAUUAAAUUGACUCAAAUGUUGAAUUGAGAAAGCCAAAUCGGGUCUGGUAUGCAUUAGGAAGUUCAAUUUUCCAAUUAAUUGCCUGUAGAGUGUAGGAUCUACUAAAGGAUUCUCCAUUUUAUGAACCAAUUGGAGCUUUGCUGGCAAAGGCAUAGUUGUAGUGGGCAGAUCCAUGAUUGAAUAAGUCUGUAAAAGAUCUUUGAUAAACUUUUGUUGAUGAACAAUGUAUCCCGUAUCAAUCUUGUUGAAUUCCAAUCCAAGGAAGUAAUGUAUUUGUCCCAAAUCCUUUAUUUUGAAUUGGUCAUGCAAAGAGUUUUUGAUGUUCAAAAUUUCUGUUGGAUCAUUUCCAGUUACAAGAAGAUCAUCAACAUAUAUAGCAAUAAUAACCAUUGAAGUAGAAGAUUUCUUGAUGAAUAAUGAAUAACCAUUAGCUGAUCUGGAAUAUCCUUUUGUGAUAAGAGUUUUAGACAAUUUAUCAUACCAUUGUCGAGAUGCUUGCUUUAAACCAUAUAAAGAUUUUUUGAGCUUGCAAACAACUGAGAAGAGACUUUAUAACCAGGUGGAAGUCUCAUGUAUACUUCCUCAUGUGAAUCACCAUGCAAGAAUGCAUUAUUACAUCAAAUUGAUGAAUAUCCCACCCUCUUUUUACAGCCAAAGCAACUAAACAUCUGAUUGUAUUAAAUUUGACAAUAGGUGAAAAUUCUUCACCAUUGAAUUUUAUAAAGUAGGUUGAGAAUUCAUCAGAAUUUUGAGAAAUCGAAUACAAAUGGUGUUGAAUUUGAUAAAUGAGAGCACCGUUUGAUUGUUCAUACCUCUGAUGUAACUCAGACCAAAUUUCUUUCGCAGUUGGGAGAAAUAGAACGCUCUCUGCGAUUUCCUUGUGAAGAGAGUUAAGAAGCCAGCUUAUCACCAUUGAAUUAACACGAGACCACUUUGGAAACAUUGGGGAAUUUUCUAAUGGUGGUGGUGUUGGAAAUUUAUAUAUAAAGGAAUUGCAAGUUGGCAAUUUCCUUUGUAUCCCACAUUGGUGGAGAGAAGAAACUUUUGAGGGUUUAUAAGCCUAUUCCUUUGGUAAGCCUUCAAAGGCUUUAGUGGAUCAAAGGAUUGGGCCAAGCCCACGCGCGCGCCUAGCCUAGCCUAGCACUAGCCGACGCCGCGAGUGCGCGAAAUGGCGCGAUUUAGGCGCACGACGCAUCGGUCGCUGGGAGUUGAGGAGCUUUUGUUUUUGGUGAGUUCGGGUCAAGCCAGUUGACCGACGUUGACUUCGUGAAGGAUAAGUCAUCGGGGCAUUCUAGAAGGAUCAGGAAAUGGCUUGCUUAGAGAGCAAGUCGUCGCCCUAGGGUUUCUGGGAGUUGAGGAGCUUUUGUUUUUGGUGAGUUCGGGUCAAGCCGGUUGACCGACGUUGACUUCGUGAAGCAUAAGUCAUCGGGGCAUUCUAGAAGGAUCAGGAAAUGGCUUGCUUAGAGAGCAAGUCGUCGCCCUAGGGUUUCUGGGGCCGGCCUGUGGGGGCCCGUUUUAUGCCUUCUAGGGUUUCGAUACCUAUAAAUAUAGCCCCCUAGGAGCCAUUCAGAACACACACGAAUUCUCAAAGCUCUCUCCCUCUCUCUGCGUUUUUUUCUUCUAGUUUCCGAGUAGUCGCUUUGUGUUUGUCGAUUUCCAGUGUUGUUGGAAUAUCGAUCUAGCUGCAUUAAAUCCUGGGGUUUUACUCUGUUGCUUACAACCUAUACAAGCGAAGUAAAAACCUUUAAGGACAAGAAUCUGAUCCGUGCAGUUGCUUCAAGAUCAAGUCAGCUAUCAACAGGUCGGUUUUACUUUUCUGUCUUGUGUUUAAUUCGUCCAAUAACAGGACAGUCUUCUUCUACCUUUCUUAUAAUCAGAUAUAGUCGAGAAGGAUAGAUCUGGUUUCUGGACGAAACUUGGUAAAUUUAAUAAUAAUAAUUGAAUUUAUUAUUCGCAACUAAUCGACAUAUAAUUCACAAUAUUAUUUGUCGGUUUCCUUGCGUGUCUUUUAGUUUGAUAUACAACAAUCUUAAAGUUUUUUUACUUGUGAUAAAUCAACAGACUAAUGGACACUACUGCUAUCCUCCACUUCAUGAACCAAGAGUUUGCCAAACUUGACCAAUUCGAUGGUCAGAACUACACCCGUUGGGCCGAAAAGGUCAAGUUCAUGCUUCAUGUCUUGAAGCUCUCCUUUGUGUUGGACCCAAAACUGGCACCAAUUCCUGAAAAUCCAAUUCCCAAGGAGGGGGAAUCUGUGGACCCAGCGGUCAUUGCAAAACUGGAAAAGUAAAGGAUUUUGCGUAGAGAAUCCAAGGAAUUGUGAGUGGGUCACAUCAAGAAUUCCCUAUCUGAUCGGCUCUAUGAUCUUUACUCACCGGUCAAAGAUCCAAAAGAGCUAUGGAAUGCGUUGGAACUUAAGUACAAGGCACAUGAGGAAGGUACUAACAAGUACCUUGUGUCCAAGUACCUUGAGUUUCAAAUGGUUGAUGACAAAUCGAUUAUGGAGCAAGUGCAUGAACUCCAAGUCAUGGUCAACAAGUUGAACGCACUCACCAUCUCUCUUCCAGAACUCUUUCAGGUUGGUGCGAUCAUCGCAAAACUGCCACCCUCGUGGAAAGAUUUCUCUAAGAGAAUGAUGCACAAGUCUGAGGACUACUCCUUGGAUGAUCUGAUGAAACACCUCCGCAUUGAGGAGGAAACUCGCAUCAGGGACAAGAAAGGUAAAGUUGGACAAAGUGUGCAUCAAGUGUCAGCUGGGAGUUCUAGCCACAAAGGCAAAUCUGGGGGACAGAACAAGAAGAACUUUGGACCCAAGAAACAAAGCUUCAAGAAACCGGGUCAUCAGAAUCCUAACUCAAAGCCAAAAAGGGUCGGUCCUUGCCACGUCUGCGGAGAGAUUGGGCACUAUGCAAGAGAAUGCAAAGAUCGCAAAUCAGUACCGGUUGCACACGCAGUCGAGAAGGUGACUGACAUGGUGGCCAGUGUGAACCUUGGAGAGAUUUUCAUGAUCUCCUCUCUUACUCGAGCAAUCUGUGCUCGAGGUUGGUUCGUGGACACCGGAGCCACUGUGCAUGUUUGUGGUCAUCGAGAAAGCUUUAGCACCUACCACCCCAUGCCACAAGGGACGGUUGUUGUCUGUGCUGACGGCCACAGAGCUGAAGUUCUAGGAAAGGGUGAUGUUCGGUUGAAGUUCACACGUGGUGAAUGGGUGACUCUUCGAGAUGUUCUUCAUGUUCCUACCAUCUCGAAGGGUUUGGUUUCUGCGGACAAGUUUGACAAGGGUGGGUUCAAGAUGGUGCUUGAGAGAGGCAAAAUUGUGAUCACUAAAGGCAGAAGACAUGUUGGGAGGGCGAACAAUACUUCGGGAAUGUAUCGCUUGUGUCUUAGUGAUGAGGGUAAUGUGAGUGGUCCUAGUGUUGAGUGUGGUGUUUCUAGUGUUGCUAGUGUGUCGAGUGUUGGUAAUGAUGUAAUUGAUGGAUUGGUUGCUAAUGUGAAUGAAGUGAACUUUUCUGGUUAUAUUGUUUGUUCAAUUUCUUUAUGGCAUAAACGUUUAGCUCACACUAAUGUUAAAAACAUUGAAAAAAUGCAAACUAAAGGUAUGUUAAAAUAUGACUCAAAAGAUUUUGAAAAAUGUGAAACAUGUGUAAAAUCAAAGUUCACUAAGAAACCAUUUCCAUCAGUUAAGAGAAACACAUCUUUACUUGAGUUGAUUCAUUCUGAUAUAUGUGAGUUAAAUGGAAUCCUUACUCGAGGAGGAAAAAGGUAUUUCAUCACAUUUUGUGAUGACUUCAGUAGAUAUCUACAUGUUUAUUUGCUGAGAUCAAAAGAUGAAGCUUUUGAUGCAUUUAAACGAUAUAAGGCUGAGGUCGAAAAUCAACUUGAAAGACACAUCAAAAUUCUUCGCUCGGACAGAGGCGGAGAAUAUUUCAACCAAGAGUUUGACACAUUCUGCGAAGAGAAUGGAAUCAAACAUGAGAGAACAUCACCAUACACCCCUCAACAGAAUGGUUUGGCUGAAAGAAAGAACCGAACUCUUUGUGAGAUGGUCAACUGUAUGUUGAACCAAUCGGGUCAACCAAACAAUCUGUGGGGGGAAGCACUAUUAACUGCUUGUUAUGUUCAUAACAGGAUCACUAGUCGUGUGAUUCCUACAAGCCCUUAUGAGUUGUGGAAAGGUAGAAAGCCUAACCUAGACUAUUUGAAAGUGUGGGGGUGUGUUGCUUAUUAUCGGACUCCCGAUCCUAAGCGAACCAAAUUGGGAGCACGAGCUAAUAAGAGUAUAUUUAUUGGAUAUGCUCAAAAUAGCAAGGCUUACCGAUUACUAGAUAUUGAUUCUGGUGUUGUUGUGGAAUCCAGAGAUGUGGAAUUCUUUGAGGACAAGUUUUCUAAGGAUGAAGAAAACUCUAGUCAUACAACACCUACAAGUACCUCUCGAGAAAUACUCCCACCUCCUCCCAUUGUGGAGGAACCAAGGAGAAGUACUAGGGCUAGAAUUGAGAAAACCUUUGGAGAUGAUUUCUAUUCUUAUUUGGUCGAAGGAACACAAAAGAAAGUGACGAGAGAGGUCAUCUUUUCAAUUAAUUUGGAUGAUGAUCCUAAGACCUUUACUGAAGCCAUGACGUCUCGGGAUGCUCCUCUGUGGAAGGAAGCAAUCAAUGACGAAAUGGAUUCAAUUAUGGGUAAUGGAACUUGGGAGUUAGCUGAUCUACCCAAGGGGAGAAGACCCAUAGGAUCCAAAUGGAUAUUCAAGAAGAAAUAUCAUCCUGAUGGAUCCAUAUCUGCUUAUAAAGCAAGGUUGGUUGCAAAGGGCUAUAGGCAGCGAGAAGGGAUCGAUUAUUUUGAUACCUAUGCCCCAGUUGCUAGAAUUAGUUCAAUUAGAACUCUCAUAGCAAUAUCAGCUUUGAAGGGAUUGUACAUUCAUCAAAUGGAUGUGAAGACAGCCUUUCUGAAUGGUUAUCUCAAAGAGGAGAUUUACCUGGAGCAACCUGAAGGUUUCGUAAUACCUGGACAAGAAAACAAAGUAUGUAGACUUGUUAAGUCUUUGUACGGGUUGAAACAAGCUCCUAAACAGUGGCAUGAGAGAUUUGACACCACUGUGACUGCCUUUGGUUUUCAGCACAAUAGUGCUGACAGAUGUAUUUAUUCUAAACAUACAUCUGAUUACAUAGUAGUUAUAUGUCUUUAUGUUGAUGAUAUGUUGAUCAUUGGCACUCACCUAGAAGGUAUUCUUGAGACGAAGAAAUACCUAUCCUCGAACUUUAAGAUGAAAGAUCUUGGAGAAGUAGAUACUAUUCUUGGUAUCAAGGUGAAGAGGACAGGUGGUCAGAUUUCUCUGAGUCAAUCUCAUUACAUAGAGAAAAUUCUGACAAAGUUUCAACAUUUGAACAUUAAGGAAUUUAACACUCCUUUUGAUUCAAGUGUGAAACUUAAGGUGAAUUCUGGUCGAGAUGUGGCCCAACUAGAAUAUGCUAGUGCAGUUGGGAGCAUGAUGUAUCCUACUCACUGCACUCGACCUGACAUCGCAUUCGCUGUAAGCAAGUUGAGUCAGUAUACAGUUAAUCCAGGGACGGAGCACUGGAAAGCAGUGGGUAGAGGACUAGGAUACCUGAAAAGGACAAGUACUUUUGAAUUGACAUAUUCGUCAUCUAAUGGAAUACUUGAAGGUUAUUCUGAUGCCAGCUGGAUUGAUCACACCAGUGAUUCAAAAUCCACAAGUGGUUGGAUUUAUACUCUAGCUGGUGGUGCUAUUUCUUGGGCGAGCAAGAAACAGACAUGCAUAGCUUAUUCAACGAUGGAAACUGAGCUAAUUGCCUUAGCAGCAACAGGCAAAGAGGCAGAGUUGAUUCGAGAUCUACUUAUGGAUAUGCGUUUGUGGGAUAUUCCGAUGCCUUCAAUACCCAUGUACUGUGACAGUGAGGCCACACUCUCUAAAGUAUAUAAUGUGGUAUAUAAUGGGAAGUCAAGACAUGUAGGUCUGCGUCACAAUUUUGUGAGACAACUAACUGAAAAGUGGUACCAUCAAGGUUGUCUAUGUCAAGACAAGUAGGAACUUGGCAGAUCCGUUUACCAAACCUCUGACGAGAGAUAUGGUUACAUCUACCACGAGAGUCAUGGGUGUAAAACCACAAUAGAAUCGUUUAGUGAUGGAAACCCAACUUGACAUUAGUGCUCCUAAUUUUCAAGUUUAAAGGGUAACAACGAAAUCACUAACGAUAGAAGGUACUAUCAUUCAUGAUAGAUCCAUGUGAGGUAGGAUAGUGCGUCGUUGCCGAGAAUGAGGUUGAGUUACGACUCUUAACGUAGUUUUGGAGACAUCUAAGCAACGAAGAUGUUGUAAAACUAUGCCUAUAUGAUCUAGAGGUGGUGCCGCCUCAAGUGAAGAUUAGUGGUUUAUCUUCUAAAGGGUCAUGAAAAGGAUUUAUAGCGCAUGGCCAUAAUAGCGCUCAGGGAGAACACAAAUAUGACUUGUGGUGUGUGGGGGUAAACCGGAGAGGUCAUUGAGGUUCAUGGUUUAAACCUAUAAGGAUACCAUUGAAUCGGUCUCUUCUUGUUUGUUCUCAUUAAACUAGGGUUUAAUCUUCGUGACACCCGAGUGACAUCAUCUGUCUGAGUGAAAGGAAACUUACCAACUUGGUGGGGGAUUGUUGGAAUUUUAUAUAUAAAGGAAUUGCAAGUUGGCAAUUUCCUUUGUAUCCCACAUUGGUGGAGAGAAGAAACUUUUGAGGGUUUAUAAGCCUAUUCCCUUGGUAAGCCUUCAAAGGCUUUAGUGGAUCAAAGGAUUGGGCCAAGCCCACGCGCGCGCCUAGCCUAGCCUAGCACUAGCCGACGCCGGGAGUGCGCGAAAUGGCGUGAUUUAGGCGCACGACGCAUCGGUCGCUGGGAGUUGAGGAGCUUUUGUUUUUGGUGAGUUCGGGUCAAGCCGGUUGACCGACGUUGACUUCAUGAAGGAUAAGUCAUCGGGGCAUAUGGCUUGCUUAGAGAGCAAGUCGUCGCCCUAGGGUUUCUAGGGCCGGCCUGCAUCGGUCGCUGGGAGCUGAGGAGCUUUUGUUUUUGAUGAGUUCGGUCAAAUGGUUGACCGACAUUGACUUCGUGAAGGAUAAGUCAUCGGGGCAUAUGGCUUGCUUAGAGAGCAAGUCGUCGCCCUAGGGUUUCUGGGGCCGGCCUGUGGGGGCCCGUUUUAUGCCUUUUAGGGUUUCGAUACCUAUAAAUAUAGCCCCCUAGGAGCCAUUCAGAACACACACGAAUUCUCAAAGCUCUUUCCCUCUCUCUGCGUUUUUUUCUUCUAGUUUCCGAGUAGUCGCUUUGUGUUUGUCGAUUUCCAGUGCUGUUGGAAUAUCGAUCUAGCUGCAUUAAAUCCUGGGGUUUUACUCUGUUGCUUACAGCCUAUACAAGCGAAGUAAAAACCUUUAAGGACAGGAAUCUGAUCCGUGCAGUUGCUUCAAGAUCAAGUCAGCUAUCAACAGGUCGGUUUUACUUUUCUGUCUUGUGUUUAAUUCGUCCAAUAACAUGACAGUCUUCUUCUACCUUUCUUAUAAUCAGAUCUAGUCGAGAAGGAUAGAUCUGGUUUCUGGACGAAACUUGGUAAAUUUAAUAAUAAUAAUUGAAUUUAUUAUUCGCAACUAAUCGACAUAUAAUUCACAAUAUUAUUUGUCGGUUUCCUUGCGUGUCUUUUAGUUUGAUAUACAACAGGUGGAAGAGAUCCAUCAACAAAUUGAAGCUUAUUCUUUGCUGAUAGAGACAAAAUCAUGGAUCGUUUCCAAGUAGCAAAUCCAACUCCAGUGAAAACGGUAGAAACAAGAAUUGCACUAGGAUUAUCUGAAGAACCAAGGUAAUAAGGACUAGAAAUGUCGAUUGUUGAAGAUUCAAUCGGAAUCUGUGGUGCAGCCACUGUAAAAAAAAUGAUCGAAAAAUAAAGAUUGAAAUGAUUUACGGAAGACGUUCACAAGAUCAAGCUGAUACCAUGUAGAAUUUCAUGAUGAAGAAAGAUGUUUUCCAUUAAUUCUCACAAAUGAAAGAGAUACAAUCUAUAUACAGAAUGGAAAGCUAUUACAGAGCACAAACAAACUUAGCUAACUUCUAACUACCAAAUUAAUUAAAUUACAAUGUUAUCCCUAUUUAUGUAAAAAUGAUGAAACUACCCUUGUGAUCAUUUAGAAGUAUUAUGCUGACAGCUCCCCUACCUCUUUUUAUGUAUUUCUUCAUCCGAGAUCACUGCUUCUCCUUUGCUUGGGUUAGUCCACCGCCUCAACUACCACCGACUCUUCCACUAAGACGAACCUUGAACCCACAAAAAAAUCUCACCGGUGCUCCCUCUUCUUCUUCCACCCCAUUGCCUUGCUCUCUCGCCAAAGAUCGUAUGAUCGAGUAGCAACGAAAGAUGCUACUGAAGAGCUGGUGACGUCGACGAAAAACCUUCUCCUUUUCUACAUGGAUUGAAGCUUCCAUCUUCGAUUGGAGAACAUUCGGCGCCUUCGUUUCUGUUUCAGCUUAGAAAAUCGAUUCCCCUCCUCCUCCGUUGUUUUACUAUUCCAGGUUUGGUGUUCGCCAUCUACCUUUUUUUUCCUGUUUCCGUGUACUGCCAUCUGUUGGGAAUGGAAGAAAGAAGCAUGUGUAUAUGCCUUUGACUCAACCGCCAUCUGGCAAACGGAUUUACAGACCCAAUUCUUAUCCAGGUAUUAGUCGCCCUAGAAAAGAUGUAUAUGCCUGAAUUAGCCUACUGAUUUAGAGACCAAUUCUUAUCCUCACUUUACAGUUCCAUGUUUACUUUAGCCAUAUAAGGGAUAUGCUUUUCAACCCAUGUCUUUUAAUUAUGUAUGAUUCACAAAGUGCAUAUUGUCAUUAAAGAACUUAUUGUGAUUUUGGUGUGGAUGCGAGGUGGUAAUGGAGGCGGGUGAAUGAUGGCUUGAUUGGAGAAAUAAGGGAGGUGGUUGACGGUUGUUUUAAGUGGGAAUGGUGGAGAAGUGGUGGUCAGGAGUGGGGGUGAGGAUGGAUUAACGUGUUGUUUUCAUUGAAGGAUGUUCAUCAAGGUUAUUUUAACUUUACCUUGGUAAUUCAUGAAGCUAUUCCGAUUCCCAGGUGACGAUUGUUCAUCCCUCUUUCUAUAUGCUUUCAAUUUCAUGUUUGUUUAAGUGUGUUCUUAAUUUUAAUUUAUUUGUUCGAAUAUAAGAAUGGGCAAGUAGAAUGAAGCUUAACGAUAGACUUUACUUGCUCAGGUAUUAGCCGCCAAAUAUUAGUAAUGUAACAACUCUGAAGUAAGAAUUCCUUUUCAGCAUAUCUUGGCACACAAUCAACACCUAGACAAUCAGCAGCUUCUUGAACCUUCAAUCACGUGCAUUCUCCCAUUUAGAUUAAUUAGAGAAAAAGACAAAAAUGCCCCUAAAAAAACUUGAGACUUACACGAGCGAUUGCAUUAGCAGUUUCAGUUGGUGCUAUUCUAGGGCUGCUCACUAUUGAUUUCACCUUCAAAUCAAAUUACAAAAAAAAAAAAACUGUAUAGUUCCAAGCAUGUCCAUAGGCAUGUUACUGUUAUCAGAUUCAGAAUCACUACCCUGUUAAAAAAAUCUCAAGAAAACCAAAUUAGGGAAAUUAAGAAAACAAACAAUUUUUUUUUUCACAUACUGGUUUAUUUAUUAAUAUCACCUCAGGGUUUCCAUGGCAGACAAGUACAAUCCGUUUACUAGCUUUCCUCCCUGCAGAGCUUCCAGAAGCAAUAGGGGAGCUUGGAGUUUGAUUUAAUCUGGUAAGACAUAUAUAUGGAGAUCCACCUUCAGGUUGUGGGACAAAAUCUAGCACACUUACACCACAGUUGCUUUGAAGUAAAAUACAUUGAAUCAACAUCAGGUAUGACGUUAACAGACUUCUAUUUUAAAAUGAAUCUAGAAAUCCAAAAGUUUUUUAUUUUCAUUUCAUGGAUUAUAUCUUUUCCGUCUCUAUUGCAUCUUUGAUUGAUUAAACCUAUUUCUAAUAAGGACCUUUUUUUUGCCUACUACCUGUUUGAUAAAAUGCCACAAUUAAUGAAAAAAUAAAGAUCCAAAGGUUAGCAGGUGGAGGAUAAAAUUAUGCAGCAUUUGUACGAGAUAUUGGUGUUCUAUCAGCAGAUACAUAUCUUUUGGAGGAGGUAAAUUAAAUUAUAUAUUUUUUUGGUCAACAUGUGGUCAAAGGAAACAUUUUCAGUUUGAUGAAAAGUGAAAACUACUUGAAUGGUUGUCGUAUGAUUUUUUUAAUAGUAUUUAUGAAUGUUGAGGAGGGUUUUAACAAAUUGUUGAUGUUUAAUUAAUUAUUUCUCGAAUUAAUUGACUGUUGCAUUGAUUUCCUAUCUUCAUCUUAAAACAGUUUUAUGUUAUAACUUCCAUACAAAUUAUGUAUGAUAUGUUUUGUUGAUAAUAUUGUUCUUUGUUUACUAUAUUACAGAAAGAAGUUGUUCAACUUACUUGCGAGUGUGAAAGACAUUUUGGGACACAAUCUGGUGGAAUGGAUCAGGUAUAUACAUAUAAUAUUUCUCAUAAACCAAUGAACUUUUCGAGUAAUUACAUUUUGUGCUUAAAUGCAAAAAAUUAACAUCAUACUUUCCUUUAUAAUAAAUGAAAGUGGAAUGGUAUAAUGAACGCAUAGGAAGUAACUUGAAAGUACAAUGUUAUAAUUUGUAUUUUUUUAUUGAACUAGGCAAUAUCCAUAAUGGAAAAACGGGAUUUGCUGACCUAGUAGAUUUCAACCCUCUUCGUGCAACUGAUGUGCAACUGCCAGCUGACGGAACUUUUCUAAUUGCUCAUUCAUUGGCUGAAUCACAGAAAGUUGUAACUGCUGCAACAAACUACAAUAAUCGUGUUGUUGAAUGUUGUUUAGCUUCUGUAAGAUUAAAGAAAAGUCUUUUUUUCAUUAUUUUUGUGUUGCUUCAAUGGUUUGAUUGGUUUGAUGGAAUGGAAUGACCCAUUACAUUCUGUUCAACAAAACAAAUAGUUUCUUUUCUUCAUUCCAGUAGAAUGAAUCAUUCCAUUCCUUUUCCAAUUUCAUUGUUGUAUGUCCCUAAAUCCUCCAUAACAAAUGGGGCCUAUGUGGCAAGUAGUCGACUAAUAUUCUAUAUUUACCUCUCUUACAUUCUAAUUUUUCUUUUCACUUUCCACCUAUUUUCCUAAUAAUCAUUCUAUUUUUGAAAACUCUAUAUUUAUUUAUUUAUUCAUUUAUUUAUUUUUUGCAGAUUUUAUUGGGCAUAAAACUCGGAAUGGAACUUGAAGAGGCAAUUUCAAAAGUGAAAACCAUUUCUGAUGUAGAAGCUUUAUGUGCAUCCUUUUUUGGGGCCCAUGGGUCUUCCAACCCUACCAUUGCUGUUAAGGUAUUCAUUCGGCUACCAAAAAUGAUGACAUGGCACGAGUGUCGCCACGUCAUCAUCUAACUCCUAUAAUAUAUUUAUAUUCGACGUUUUGCUUUAAACGGUAAAAAACAUAUAACUUGGUUGCUAUCUUUGGUUAAAAAUAAAAAAAUAUCUGAAAGAGGAGCCUUAUACAUCUAAUGAAAUUGAGAUAAUCACCGGUAAAAGCUUAGAUUCCAUAAUUUUUUACUCUGCCACUUCACUGGAUGUGAUAAAAGCUGCCACACAUUACAAGUUAUUCCAGGUAACUUCACAAAAUACCAACCUACUUUCUCAUGUAUUCCAUCAGUUAAUUUUUUUUUUACUUUAAAAAACUUUCAUUUGUAAUUAUUUUUUGAAUCACUGUAUAGUUAACAUUUUUUUUUUUGUAAAUUUGUUCUAUCAGAGAGCCUUCCAUGUGUACUCGACAGCGAAACGUGUAUAUGCUUUCAAGGAUGUGGUGUCAUCAAAUUCUGAGUGAGUCUCACUAUUUUCUAUGAUUUUAUAUUUUUUUAUAAAUAAACUUUGUUUAUAUCUUUUUAAAGUCCGGAAUAUGGCUAAUAUUGGAAUUUGUUUUUGCAUUGAAUAGGAGAGGUUGAAGAACCUUGACGAUCUAAUGAAUGACAAUCACCAUAGUUGCAGUGUUCUAUUUGAGUGCAGGUUUAGGCUUUAUUUUUCCUUUCUAAUUUUUUUUCCUGUUACUCGGUUAUAUCGGUUUAAAUGUUGUUAACAAAAAGCAAAUUAUGGUUGUUACGGGAAGUUUCACCCUUUUUGAUGAUUGUAAUUUCAAUUUCAGAAUUUUAGAAAUUGUAUUUGUUGUGCUUUUUCCGGUUAUAUGUAAUUUGAAUUUCGUAUUGGGGGUUUUCCAAUCUCACAAACAAAUUUCUUCUGUCAACAUAUGAUAUUUAUUGUUUUGUUUGUGUAGAUGAAGUUUAGUUUCACCAACCGAUCUCAAGGGUUUGGAUUUGUUAUUUUUGUGAGUGAAUAAGUUAUUAAUGAAAUGUUAUCUAAUGUUAAGUUGCAUUGUUGAGCUACUGAAAAAUGACAAAAACUACAAAAAAAUCCAUACCCCGCGUAGCGGGGGUUCCCACCUAGUUUGAGAUCAUUACAACAUUAACAGAAGAAGGAAAUAUUGAAACAACAUUUCAUUACAAAAAUGAAAAUUAGUCUUCUUCAAUGCCAAGAAAAAAAACUCAGGCACAUAACACAAAUUACAGGAAAUUACGGAAGAGUCACAAGAACCCUAAUAAUCAUAAAAUUUCAUUUUUAAUUUAGAAAAAAGGGUAGAAGAAUAUCUGAAAAAGUAUCAAAAUAUAACCUUUCUUUUUCUUCUUUUAUACCUUCUAAUUAUUUACUACAGUGGCAUGCAUAAAGGAAGAGCAACAAGAAAAGUACACAGCUUAAUCAAAUUACCGGAGUCGGAGAAGGCGUCGGAGGCUCGCAGUAGCUCCGGCAUCGACACCAGAUCCUGAUGCGGCCGCCUCCGUGUUGUAACUGAGCUGUGGCCGGAGCGAAAAAUUAGGCAAAGGCAAGCUGGUUGGAGGCGGAGAAGGAGUAAACACAACAGAACCUAAAAACUUAUAAUCAGGAAGAGAAACAAUUUCACAGGAGUUGGUAAGCGAGGAUGAGAAAACCCUAGAAAUAACCAAUCUGAAAUCGGAAAUCAGAAAUAGGAAAAUCAGUUUAACUUACACCUUUCUUCAGUAGCCUCCGAUUAGCCUCUCUGGUGGUGCAUCAGCAGCCGACCUACCUGUUUUUUGUUCCCGUCAACACACAUCAACAUAGAGGAAUCGAGAACCGGUAUCCCUUUUAAUGACCACCUUCAAAUAACCAAUCUGAAAUCGGAAAUCAUAAAUAGGAAAAUUAGUUUAGCUUACACCUUUCUCCGGUAGCCUCCGAUUAGCCUCUCCGGUGGUGCAUCAACGACCGACCUCCCUGUUUUUUGUUCCCGUCAACACACAUCAACAUAGAGGAAUCGAGAAUUGGUAUCCCUUUGCAUCAUUACUUUUGAGCUGUACAAUUUUUUUCCUUUAUGGCCGAUGUAUCACAACACCAGAGAACCGACAACUGGUGAGAAGUUGUGUCAACGACUCUGCGAAGUGAAGAAGAGGAGGAUCACCCCCCUGCACGUUUGCCUUAUGGAGCAAUAACGGUGUUCAUGAUUUCAUGUGGUGGUACCGAGGAAGCGAGGGCGAGAGGAGCCAAAUUGAUAAUGAAGGAAUAAAAAUUAGAGAAGUUGGCGACUAACGGAUAGGAAAGAAGAGUCUGUGUAUAUGGGUGGUGGGUUUAACAGAGGUAGUGAAAAAGGAGUUGUGGCGGUUAUUUGUUUAGAUUGGCGGGGGAAGUGAGAUGAAGAAGAAACAAAGGGACACGUAUGGA